Molecule: microRNA, 21 nt
Filed under: Echinops telfairi (small Madagascar hedgehog)
Lineage: Eukaryota; Metazoa; Chordata; Mammalia; Afrosoricida; Tenrecidae
Also listed under: 2 other names
Description: Ete-Mir-33-P3_3p* (star (passenger))
Source: RNAcentral
CAAUGUUUCCACAGUGCAUCC